UAGUGCCGGCUACGUGCAUUAGUUAAAUGAGAGAUUACAAACAAAAUUUAGGAAAUUAUUAGUGUCUAAUUGUUGGGCAUUCAAUACCGCGCAUUUUAAUAAUCAUAUAGAAGUUUUAGAUUUUUUAAUUCAGAGGAGUUAGGUGUAUGAACUAAUGACGAACCCCCAGCUUUGCAAAAUAGUGAAUUAUGUAAAUGUGAAAAUUAGGGCUUGUAUGCGAUGCUACUGCCUGGACUUUUAUUAGUGGAACACCAGGUCAUACUUCCCGACAUGGUUGGUCAAAAAUCUCAGAGCGCAACUUCGCAGCUUCACUGAUGUUUCCUUUGCCUUUAGUGUGAACAAGUUGUUGCGAAGUCAAGAGACAAAUUGCGGAAACAUGUUUUUUGUGUUAAUAAAAUGUGAAAUGGUUUACCAUUAUUCUUAAAUAA
This is a long non-coding RNA of Drosophila biarmipes, 428 nucleotides long. RefSeq lists it as uncharacterized. NCBI's taxonomy places the organism in Eukaryota, Metazoa, Arthropoda, Insecta, Diptera, Drosophilidae. The record is from RefSeq and is a predicted model, not a curated record. The transcript has 5 exons.